GACGAACGCUGGCGGCAUGCCUAAUACAUGCAAGUCGAGCGAACAGAUGAAGUGCUUGCACUUCUGACGUUAGCGGCGAACGGGUGAGUAACACGUAAGGAAUCUACCUAUAAGCGGGGGAUAACAUUCGGAAACGGGUGCUAAUACCGCAUAAUAUCUUCUUCCGCAUGGAAGAAGAUUGAAAGACGGCUCUGCUGUCACUUAUAGAUGACCUUGCGGUGCAUUAGUUAGUUGGUGGGGUAAUGGCCUACCAAGACGAUGAUGCAUAGCCGACCUGAGAGGGUGAUCGGCCACAUUGGGACUGAGACACGGCCCAAACUCCUACGGGGAGCAGCAGGUAGGAACUUCCGUUCCGACAAGUGGGACGAAA
RNAcentral lists this ribosomal RNA (370 nucleotides) under uncultured bacterium. RNAcentral's name for it is "bacterial SSU rRNA". It matches the Rfam family "Bacterial small subunit ribosomal RNA", at positions 28 to 391 of the family's 1533-position model. The record is from RNAcentral.